GUUUGAUGUUCUAACGUUGACCCGUAAUCCGGGUUGCGGACAGUGUCUGGUGGGUAGUUUGACUGGGGCGGUCUCCUCCUAAAGAGUAACGGAGGAGCACGAAGGUUGGCUAAUCCUGGUCGGACAUCAGGAGGUUAGUGCAAUGGCAUAAGCCAGCUUGACUGCGAGCGUGACGGCGCGAGCAGGUGCGAAAGCAGGUCAUAGUGAUCCGGUGGUUCUGAAUGGAAGGGCCAUCGCUCAACGGAUAAAAGGUACUCCGGGGAUAACAGGCUGAUACCGCCCAAGAGUUCAUAUCGACGGCGGUGUUUGGCACCUCGAUGUCGGCUCAUCACAUCCUGGGGCUGAAGUAGGUCCCAAGGGUAUGGCUGUUCGCCAUUUAAAGUGGUACGCGAGCUGGGUUUAGAACGUCGUGAGACAGUUCGGUCCCUAUCUGCCGUGGGCGCUGGAGAACUGAGGGGGGCUGCUCCUAGUACGAGAGGACCGGAGUGGACGCAUCACUGGUGUUCGGGUUGUCAUGCCAAUGGCACUGCCCGGUAGCUAAAUGCGGAAGAGAUAAGUGCUGAAAGCAUCUAAGCACGAAACUUGCCCCGAGAUGAGUUCUCCCUGACCCUUUAAGGGUCCUGAAGGAACGUUGAAGACGACGACGUUGAUAGGCCGGGUGUGUAAGCGCAGCGAUGCGUUGAGCUAACCGGUACUAAUGAACCGUGAGGCUUAACCUUACAAC
Molecule: ribosomal RNA, 724 nt
Filed under: Escherichia coli
Lineage: Bacteria; Pseudomonadati; Pseudomonadota; Gammaproteobacteria; Enterobacterales; Enterobacteriaceae
Description: partial 23S ribosomal RNA
Rfam family: Bacterial large subunit ribosomal RNA
Source: RNAcentral